GUGCUUGCUUUGGCAGAACGUAUACCGAAGUUGGAACAAUGCAGGGAAAAUUAAUUAUUAACAUGGCCCCUGUGCAAGGAUGAUAUGCAAAUUUAUGAUGCAUUGCAGAUUACA
This is a non-coding RNA of Ailuropoda melanoleuca (giant panda), 114 nucleotides long. NCBI's taxonomy places the organism in Eukaryota, Metazoa, Chordata, Mammalia, Carnivora, Ursidae. The record is from Rfam.